UUGGAGGGCAAGUCUGGUGCCAGCAGCCGCGGUAAUUCCAGCUCCAAUAGCGUAUAUUAAAGUUGUUGCAGUUAAAAAGCUCGUAGUUGAAUUUCGGGGUCAGUAGGUUGGUCAUGCCACUGGUAUGUACUGGUCUCACUGAUUCCUCCUUCCUGAUGAACUGUAAUGCCAUUAAUUUGGUGUUGCAGGGAAUCUGGACUGUUACUUUGAAAAAAUUAGAGUGUUUAAAGCAGGCUCACGCUUGAAUACAUUAGCAUGGAAUAACGAAAUAGGACGUUUGAUUCUAUUUUGUUGGUUUCUAGGAUCGACGUAAUGAUUAAUAGGGAUAGUUGGGGGCAUUAGUAUUCAAUUGUCAGAGGUGAAAUUCUUGGAUUUAUUGAAGACUAACUACUGCGAAAGCAUUUGCCAAGGAUGUUUUCAUUAAUCAAGAACGAAAGUUAGGGGAUCGAAGACGAUCAGAUACCGUCGUAGUCUUAACCAUAAACUAUGCCGACUAGGGAUCGGAUGAUGUUAAAUUAAUGACUCAUUCGGCGCCUUACGGGAAAC
RNAcentral lists this ribosomal RNA (546 nucleotides) under uncultured Rhizophagus. RNAcentral's name for it is "SSU rRNA". It matches the Rfam family "Eukaryotic small subunit ribosomal RNA", at positions 548 to 1098 of the family's 1831-position model. Lineage: Eukaryota; Fungi; Glomeromycota; Glomeromycetes; Glomerales; Glomeraceae. The record is from RNAcentral.